Long non-coding RNA from Mustela erminea (ermine), 1753 nucleotides. RefSeq lists it as uncharacterized. The transcript has 3 exons. The record is from RefSeq and is a predicted model, not a curated record. NCBI's taxonomy places the organism in Eukaryota, Metazoa, Chordata, Mammalia, Carnivora, Mustelidae.
ACUUAGAAACAGAAGGGAGCCCUUCAGAUAGGAGGCAGGGGAGUUGGGAAUCUCAACAGGUGCAGGGGGAGGGCCCAGUACCUGGCAGAGAGCCAGAAAAGGGCAGAGGGCAGAGGCAGGAAUAGUGUGUGAAUGAAGAGGCAGGUGGUCAGUACAAACGAGGUUAGGUAGGGAAGGUGCUGGCACCAGGAGAAGGACAGAAAGACAAGAGAUUCCCAAAUGGGCAGGAGUGAGCCCCCAUUUAGGGAUAUAAGGGCUGAAGCCUUAUAUUUUCUCCUCCGUUGAGGGAGGAAAUGGUGGUAGGGUUGGUGGGACAAGAAUGACAGUUCCAUUGAGAAAGUCCUCUCCACAGUGCAGGCUGUUGGUAGCGCCCAGGCCUGGACUGGGAGGGGGACCAUCCUCCACUGUUCCUUGACUGCUAAGUGUAGAGGUUCCCUGCUUGAGCUUGCUCUCCCCACGGGCAACUUCUCCAUCUUAGAAGCACUCACUUUCAUCCCCAGAGGGCCUCUAGUCCUGAAGCUACUCGAUUUUGUCUUUGGAAUGGGCGUUUUCACAUGGGUCUCUGAUCUGGGAUUCAGAGUACAGUACAGGUACAGUACAGCGCAUCUUCUUUCCAGAAAAAGAAGUGUAACGUACACAGGGAGUGGCAACGUGGCCCACCUCCCUCCCUUUUGCCUUCUAAUUGGUCUUGCUCCGCCCUGAGGAUGGCAAAGGGGGCUCUCUUCCCACCUGGUGCAAAGCACAGCCCCAAGCAAAGAUGCCCUCUCCCUCUCAACUUGCUAGAUUUGUGUUUCUCAACUCUCUCAGUUAGAGAAGGUAAUUAACUGUUUGGGUUUAAAAGCCCUCCUGCUGGGCUGCAGUCUGCGUGGGAGAAUAAAAGUAAACAAGCGAAAGGGAACGGUGUCAUCAAAGGACUCUGCACCCUUAUAAGGAUGAAAAGGCUGCUAUUUGCCACAGGUGCCACGGACAACCGCACCCCGCCUCCUUAAGAGCAGGGUCUGUGGGCCUUUCAUUCUUCUUGAAGGUAAGUCAAGAGUGAUUGGGUCAUCAUGUAAAAACCUGCCAUGGUUUCAGAUGCCCAUCAGCUAACAGCCAUGUCACCUGGCCUGGCCUGAGCCGUUCUAGUGUGAUGUCACAACUGUUCUAGCUGAUGACACCCUGUAGUUCACAAGCCCCCUUGAGAUACAUUGCUAGUAACUAAUCCAAACUGUCCCCUACUCUAAGUAUUAAGAACCAGUUUUUUUUGUUUUUUUUUUUUUUAAGAACCAAUUUUCUUAAAAAGCCAAAGCUUCACUUCUAUGUGGGGAAACAUCUACUUUCCUGCCCAUCACAAUUUUGGAGGUGAAUCAGGCCCACUUCUCCCCUCAGCUGCGCUAAGGUGGGUCACACAGGAGCUCCGCUGCGCCCACGGUGCCGCUGGGAAAUUCCUGUCUCCGUGCCAACUGCUUCCACAACACUUCUCUAAGGUGCUGACACAAAGAAUCUUGUCUCCAAGCUGGGAGACUCGGGGACAGCAGAAUGGCUGCCAUCUAAUUUAUAGACGUUCCUGGUGACUUUUUUACCUUUGGGUGACCGCAUAAGGAAACCAGGAGUAGAAAAGUACUCAUGUAAAUAAUCACAUACAACUGAAGGUACAGCAUCCACAUUUAAAUCAGCAAGGCCCCAUUUCCAACCCCAGAGCAUGUGCCAUUAUUACAGACAAGGCCACACUCAGCUGUUCUUCCAGCCUCCACUGCUCCUCUUAAAAGAAACA